Molecule: non-coding RNA, 85 nt
Filed under: Desulfosporosinus sp.
Lineage: Bacteria; Bacillati; Bacillota; Clostridia; Eubacteriales; Desulfitobacteriaceae
Also listed under: 1 other name
Description: c-di-GMP sequence
Rfam family: c-di-GMP-I-GGC riboswitch aptamer
Source: RNAcentral
AUUGCCAAAGGCAAACUCAGUGAAAACUGAGGACGCAAAGCUUCGGGUCUUCCACUCUCAGGUGAUGAUGGCCGAGCCGCCAAUU